RNAcentral lists this ribosomal RNA (405 nucleotides) under uncultured bacterium. RNAcentral describes it as "partial 16S ribosomal RNA". It matches the Rfam family "Bacterial small subunit ribosomal RNA", at positions 30 to 526 of the family's 1533-position model. The record is from RNAcentral.
AUUGAACGCUGGCGGCAGGCCUAACACAUGCAAGUCGAACGAGUGGCGGACGGGUGAGUAAUGUCUGGGAAACUGCCUGAUGGAGGGGGAUAACUACUGGAAACGGUAGCUAAUACCGCAUACCAUCAGAUUUGCCCAGAUGGGAUUAGCGUGUUGGUGGGGUAACGGCGCACCAAGGCGACGAUCCCUAGCUGGUCUGAGAGGAUGACCAGCCCAACUGUAAUUGAGACACGGUCCAGACUCCCACGUGAGGCAUCAGUGGGGAAGAGUGCAUAAUGGGCGCAAGCCUGAUGCAGCCAUGCCGUGUGUAGGAAGAAGGCCUUCGGGUGGUAAAGUACUUUCAGCGGGGAGGCGUUACCCGCAGAAGAAGCACCGGCGAACUCCGUGCCAGCAGCCGCGUAAUUC